Molecule: ribosomal RNA, 496 nt
Filed under: uncultured Glomus
Lineage: Eukaryota; Fungi; Glomeromycota; Glomeromycetes; Glomerales; Glomeraceae
Description: SSU rRNA
Rfam family: Eukaryotic small subunit ribosomal RNA
Source: RNAcentral
AGCAGCCGCGGUAAUUCCAGCUCCAAUAGCGUAUAUUAAAGUUGUUGCAGUUAAAAAGCUCGUAGUUGAAUUUCGGGGUCAGCAAGUUGGUCGUGCCACUGGUAUGCACUGGCUUUGCUGAUUCCUCCUUCUUGAAGAACUGUAAUGCUAUUAAUUUAGUGUUGCAGGGAAACAGGACUGUUACUUUGAAAAAUUUAGAGUGUUUAAAGCAGGCUAACGCUUGAAUACAUUAGCAUGGAAUAAUGAAAUAGGACGUUUGAUCCUAUUUUGUUGGUUUCUAGGAUUGACGUAAUGAUUAAUAGGGAUAGUUGGGGGCAUUAGUAUUCAAUUGUCAGAGGUGAAAUUCUUGGAUUUAUUGAAGACUAACUACUGCGAAAGCAUUUGCCAAGGAUGUUUUCAUUAAUCAAGAACGAAAGUUAGGGGAUCGAAGACGAUCAGAUACCGUCGUAGUCUUAACCAUAAACUAUGCCAACUAGGAUCGGACGAUGUUAAUUUU